CCCUUGAUACUAGUGGUUGUCAUACUCCUUUUGAGUUUGUUCACGUUGGUGGCCUAAUAAUUGAUUGGCCAACUAAAUCACUAUUUAUCUUCAGCUUCAUGAUUACUGUCCACUAACAUGUUAUAAACGGUUUGGUUUUCCGAAGGAGUAGUCUGACUUGUCUAGAGAGUGAGGUACAGGCUUACAACAGCAUUCACAUUCAUUUCCUAAUGAGGUAAGCCUAUCAAUGUUCUCUGUUGGUUGGAUUCGUUUGUCUUAUGCACUAUGGAUUAAUUCGAAUGUCAAAGAAGUAACAACCGUGUUCUUUCCCUGACAACUUAAUGUUCAUCUCUGUUUAACUGUGUACUACAAGAAAGCAGUUAGGUUAACAAGGGUUGGUUGGUGGAUUGAAUUUUUAACUGCAAACUGAUAAGGUCCUAUGGACCUUGGUGGAGAGCAGAGGUUCGUCAUCUAGGUUCUACAUGCCAGUAUUUAGUUGGUCACGUUUUUUAUCCUGUUUCUAGCACCAAGAUUGAAAAUCGUGUUGUUGGAUUAUGAGCCAAAAUCCCAUUUUCAGAUAAGAAAUGCUCAUCGUGUGAUAAUUCACCUACAGUCUUGGAUUUUUGUCAGAUUCAUUCUAGCUAGGACUCAGCAAAAUGAUGUUGGUUUGACAGGAUACAACGACCUACAAAACUUCUCCUCAAAAAGCAAUGUGAAUAAUGCCUUUUAUGUCAUGUGCGCAUUUGUUGAUUGUUGUAUUGCAAAUGAAGUCAAGCCUUCCUUUGCGCUGUACUUCUCCCAAGGUUCACAUCAGUAAUCAACUUCGCACUUCUAGUAAAGGUUUGCCUUUUUUUUAUGCUCGUUGGUUUGCUGCAAUAAUGCAUGGGAUUAAUUAUGUUUAUUUGAAAUGGCUUUAUCUGAUGUAAAUGAAGUUUAAUUGUGAAACACUUACAUGGCAGUCAUGUUGGUAACUACAUCAUUAUGAAUCUGAUUGUGUGAGAGACUGAUACGGGGAAAAUAGAUAAGGAAGUGCUUUUGUUGUCAGUGAUGAGCUUGAACCAAAAUGUGGAUUGAUUCAUAAGUAGAAAAUAAUGAUACUAAGCUCUGCCCCCUGUUGAUUUGCUCUUUGAAGUUGAAGAGAUCAAUCCUACGUCAUGGAUGCGUGAGAGAGAUUGACCCGCAACUACGCUCUGUGACCAAUUGAUAGAAUCACGUCAAUGCCAAACAGAGUCUUACUGAUAAAGUUAACAAAUUAUUCAACGUCAUCACCCAAACAACGACCAAAUUAAAGUAGCCGUUUACAUCAAAGUUGUUUGUAAGAAACUUGGGCACGCAAUCGCUUGUUGUCGGCAUCCUUGCCCCACUGCCAAGAUUUGUUAGCUAAGCAUUCAUCUACUCACAGUAGACCUAACAGAGAUAUAUAAUUGCAUAAUUCCUCUUGGCUGCACACUGGGAGGUUUGAAAUACAAGUACCUGGAUUUCUUGUAGAUAAGAGCAUUCCACAGGAGUAGUUUUCAUGAUCAUAGAAAAUAGAUACUGAACUUCCAUCCUACCCGUAUGCACCGUGCAUUGUUUAUGUCCUUUCACUUUCAUUUUAAUCAUUCGAGGAAAACAUGAAAUCUUUGUUUCUUUUUUACAUCUGCAAGGUUGAUAUUGCUUACUCAAUAUGGAUAUCUGUAGCAGCAUAACUGGAUAAGUGAUGUCUACGCCUUGUGUAGCACUCGUAGCAAUAAUGCAGUCCAGUAAUGCUGGGUGGCAUAAAUCAAUUUAUUUUUUGUUAUUCAAUGGUACAUCAACAUACGGACAUCAAUGGAUAUUUUGUGGGAUACAUAAGCCUGCGGACAAUAAUGAAUGUGUUUUUGGAAUUAUAGGUGAUAUCUCUCAUUUAAAUCUCUUUGUUGACUUGGAGAUUAGAAGGGAAGGAAGAGAAGACUAAAGAAAAUACUUAGAUUUAUGCCUUGGCAUAUCUCUCAUUUAAAGGUGUAGACAGAAACGGAAUGUUGCGUCUUCAGAACCUAAAUGUUUGUAUCUUAUGCGCUGCUAUUAAGUGUCUUUUUCAGUUCAUGUGUUAUCUAAUAAGCAUGGAGACUUUUUAUUAGACUGAAUUAGCCAUGCAGGCUAGCUAUGGAUAAACAGAUCUCAGGCAUAGAGUCAUGAAUCAAAUCUAUAAACAAUAAUAUUUUUAUUACACUUAGAAUAUGCUAUCUUUUACUAUGUUCAUUUGAUCAAAAGCAUCAUCUUGUACAAUUCAACUUUUAUCCCAAAAGCAUCAUGCAACAUUUCUUUUGUCAACAUUGGAGAAAAGUUGGGCAUCCAUCAGCAUUUUCUUGAUUCUCGCGAACAUUUUUUCUUAUUCACUACAUAAGUUAUGAGAUUGAAAGUUGAUUGGCUCACUGCUUUGUUUGAAAUGUAUAAUUGACUGCAUUUUUGGAUGACUUGUUAUUUCCAACAGGGAACAGUUUGAUCCAAAAGUUUUCACAGAUGCAAAUUCCUUGAUGCCGUAGACAUCGGAUGCAGAUCAGCAUUCUAUCUCUCUCAGUCUUGACAUAGAUUCUGCAGUUGUAGCAAGAAAUCUCUGUUUUGGCUUGCUGCUUGGUCCACUUUUUAGGUGUUCUUAGGUAGGAAAAACAAGCCACAGUAUGGAUUUGUGAUAUUUGUUAGACAACAGGUCAACAGCAACAAUAACGUCGUCGCUGUCUGUUGAGGAACAAUGGCAAGAGGCACACUGCAAACAAGGAUACAGUUCAGGUCUCUUGUUCUUUCUUUUCCCCCACUCCAUCCCCACUGCAUUCAUUCCUGGACAAAGCUUAACCCUUCAUGUGUUCCUUUCAUCUUUUGAGCAGGAAAAACAUCUCUGCACCAACCAGGAGAAUAUCAGUGGGAGCAGUGUCCAGAAAGGCAGCCGCUUAUGGCUCGGCGGCAUAUAGGCUCCAGACGACGCACCUCAUCUCGCUCACUGGUCGCUGGUCGAUUUAUCCUGCAUAAUCGGUGAUUUUGGUGCUGGUCUGUGGUGUCACAAAUGUCUAGCACCUUACUGAACACUGCGUGCAGUGAGGGAGAAGUUAUGUUCUCGAACGUCUAGUGUAGAGACCAGAGUGGUUCCAUCUACGAGCUUGCUUUUCUUCCAUGUACGAGAGUUCCCUUCUGUACUAGGCACGUUUUUGUUAGUGUUCUAGUGUGUGUGUGGCGCGCGCGUGUGUGUGAAUUCAUGUAGAUUUUACCUGUAUUCUUAACUUAAUUUUACUGACAAGUUCUGUCACCUGUUACCUCUGUGAGAUAUAAAUUGUUUCUAUUCACAAGUGUGAAUUGAUCAAAUGGGUUAUAUAUUUUCAUGGAGAGAGAAAAUGACAAAUGGGGCUUAAAUUUUCUUUUUAGCGUACUGAAGCUUAAAUUUACGAUUAGGAAUCAGCGACCUUUUUUUCCUUUUG
RNAcentral lists this long non-coding RNA (3407 nucleotides) under Triticum aestivum (bread wheat). RNAcentral's name for it is "long non-coding RNA (TAES_LNC007528)". Lineage: Eukaryota; Viridiplantae; Streptophyta; Magnoliopsida; Poales; Poaceae. The record is from RNAcentral.